GAAAGUAAGCAAGGGCAGACGGUGGAUGCCUUGGCUCUCGGAGGCGAUGAAGGACGUGAUAAGCUGCGAUAAGCUUGGGGUAGGUGCAAAUAACCUUUGAUCCCAAGAUUUCCGAAUGGGGCAACCCGGCUGGUAGAAGGCCAGUCAUUCCGUAAGGAAGGCGAACGUGGGGAACUGAAACAUCUAAGUACCCAUAGGAGAAGAAAACAAAAGUGAUUCCGCAAGUAGUGGCGAGCGAACGCGGAACAGCCCAAACCGAUGAUGUUUAGGCAUUGUCGGGGUAGUAGGACCACGUUGUGGCAAGAGAUUAAUGAAGUAGAACGUUUUGGAACAAACGGCCGUAGACGGUGAAAGCCCAGUAUACGACUCUUUAACGAAGCCUAGUGGAAUCCUGAGUAGCGCGGAGCACGAGAAAUUCUGUGUGAAUCAGCGGGGCCCAUCCCGUAAGGCUAAAUACUCCCGAGAGACCGAUAGCGAACCAGUACUGUGAAGGAAAGGUGAAAAGCACCUCGAACAGAGGAGUGAAAUAGUCCCUGAAACCGUCUGCCUACAAGCGGUCGGAGCAACGUAAGUUGUGACGGCGUGCCUUUUGCAUAAUGAACCUACGAGUUACUUUCUCCGGCAAGGUUAAGGGCUUCAGGCCCGGAGCCGAAGCGAAAGCGAGUCUUAAUAGGGCGUGAUAGUCGGAGUGAGUAGACGCGAAACCAAGUGAUCUACCCUUGGUCAGGAUGAAGGUUGGGUAACACCAACUGGAGGUCCGAAUGGGUAUACGUUGAAAAGUGUUCCAAUGAACUGAGGGUAGGGGUGAAAGGCUAAUCAAACUUGGAGAUAGCUCGUACUCCCCGAAAUGCAUUUAGGUGCAGCCUUUAUUUAGUAUAGCAUGAGGUAGAGCGACUGAUUGGAUGCGAGGGCUUCACCGCCUAUCAAGUCCAGAUAAACUCCGAAUGCGUGCUAUAUAUUGAUAAGGAGUGAGGGCGCGGGUGCUAAGGUCCGCGUCCGAGAGGAGAAGAAUCCAGACCAUCAGCUAAGGUCCCCAAAUAACAGUUAAGUUGAACUAACGAAGUCGGACUGCAGAGACAGCUAGGAUGUUGGCUUGGAAGCAGCCAUUCAUUUAAAGAGUGCGUAACAGCUCACUAGUCGAGGAGUCCGGCGUGGAUAAUACUCGGGCAUAAACUGUUUACCGAAGCUAUGGAUGUAGAAAUACAUGGUAGGGGAGCAUUCCAACGGCGUCGAAGGUGAAGGAUGACCUUUGCUGGAGCUUUUGGAAACGCAAAUGUAGGUAUAAGUAACGAUAAAGGAGGUGAGAAACCUCCUCGCCGAAAGACUAAGGUUUCCUGAUCAACGUUAAUCGGAUCAGGGUAAGUCGGGACCUAAGGUUAAGCCGAACGGCGAUACCGAUGGAAGAAUGGUUUAAUAUUCCCAUACUACUUUAUGGAGCGAUGUGGAGACGGAGAAGUGAAAGUCCUGCCAUCUGACGGAAUAGGUGGUUGAAGAGUGUAGAUGUAGAUUCCUGUAGGCAAAUCCGCAGGGAGAGUCGACCUUGACAGUAUGCCGCGUGCUUGCACAAGGCAAAAUGGACGUAAUCAGGCUCCCAAGAAAAUCCGCUAAGCAUAUUCAUAAAGUACCCGUACCGUAAACGGACACACGUAGUUGGGUUGAAAAUACUGAGGCGCUCGAGUGAUUCACGGUUAAGGAACUAGGCAAAUUGACCCUGUAACUUCGGGAUAAAGGGUCCCUACUGAGAGGUAGGGCGCAGAGAAUAGGUCCAGGCAACUGUUUAACAAAAACACAUGGCUGUGCGAAAUAGAAAUAUGAAGUAUACAGCCUGACACCUGCCCGGUGCUGGAAGGUUAAGAGGAGAGCUCAUCGCAAGAGAAGGCUUGAAUUGAAGCCCCAGUAAACGGCGGCCGUAACUAUAACGGUCCUAAGGUAGCGAAAUUCCUUGUCGGGUAAGUUC
Molecule: ribosomal RNA, 1957 nt
Filed under: human gut metagenome
Description: bacterial LSU rRNA
Rfam family: Bacterial large subunit ribosomal RNA
Source: RNAcentral